This 253-nucleotide ribosomal RNA is filed under the name uncultured bacterium. Its description in RNAcentral is "partial 16S ribosomal RNA". It matches the Rfam family "Bacterial small subunit ribosomal RNA", at positions 524 to 777 of the family's 1533-position model. The record is from RNAcentral.
UACGAAGGGGCUAGCGUUGCUCGGAAUCACUGGGCGUAAAGGGUGCGUAGGCGGGUCUUUAAGUCAGGGGUGAAAUCCUGGAGCUCAACUCCAGAACUGCCUUUGAUACUGAAGAUCUUGAGUUCGGGAGAGGUGAGUGGAACUGCGAGUGUAGAGGUGAAAUUCGUAGAUAUUCGCAAGAACACCAGUGGCGAAGGCGGCUCACUGGCCCGAUACUGACGCUGAGGCACGAAAGCGUGGGGAGCAAACAGGG